AAUUAUAAACAUUUAUGUAAUUUCCCAAAACCGCGUUUUUGCCUUAUUUCCACGAUUCUUCUCAAUUAUUUCCUUUUCUUUUAUUUUAUUUUAUUUCUUUUUUGUAUAUAUAAAUACGAGCUCUCUCUUCCUCACUCGUUCACUUCACCACAAACACUUUUCUUUCAAAACUGUAUAUAUAUAUAUAUACACACUCAUCUAUGGUGAUUAUUAUUAUACAAUAGGAACAAGAGGAAAAGGGAAUGAGUUUGCUGGAAGUUGUAGGUAUGGGGGGAUUGGGCAAAGCUAUAUCUAUAUAUAUAUAUAUAUCCAAAUAUGUAUAAUCUAUAUCUAUAGAUCUAUAUAUGUAUAAUCUUUAUAUAUAUAUAUAUAUAUGAAAAAAAAAUAGAAAAAUAGGAGCUUUUCCCAACACCUCCCAUACCAUUGAUUUCCAGGCCUUCUUCCCUUUUCCAUUCUCUGUUCCAUUUUUCUGACUGUUUCUCACUCUUUCUUUCCCAUCAGGGGGAAGGAGUUUCGAAUUUCACCACAAAAAGAGGAGGACAACAACACCACAACCACCACCACACAAGAGACCAACAACACAACCAUUUUUGGGGUAAAAUCUAUACAUAUUAAUUUGAGUUCAGAUUGAACCUGUAUCUCAGAGUUACAAAGCAAUGGGGUCACCACUACACAAAUCACGUGGUGGGUUUGGCCACCACCACACAGGGGACCAGCAAGACGAUCAUUUUUGGGAUACAAAUCUAUACAUAUAAAUAUGUACAAAUUACUUUGAGUUCAGAUUGAACGUGUAUCACAUAGUUACAAAGCUACGGGGUCACCACUACACCAAUCAUGUAGUGGUAAGAUUUAGUAAGCCGUUUUAACUGCACAAAAAUAUAAUUGUCUUAUUCAAAAAUAAAUUUUGAACGAACUUUUCUAUAUAAUGUAGUGUUUGACACUGUGAGUAACUAACCCUUAAUGAUAUUUAUUAAGUCACUAAACAUGUCAUUUUUAUUGUGUACGACCUGAUGGAGUAAAUUACAAUAGUGUUAAUGUCAUUUAAAUUGUUUUAGAGUCAAAGAUGAUAUUAAAUACAUAAUUGCUUGUUACAUAUAGAGCUUUAUUGUACACACCAAUAUAGUUUAGUCUUACAAGUAAUCACUAAAAUUUGAGUUUAUUAAACAAAUCUGUAAAUUAUUU
Humulus lupulus (European hop) is the source of this 1182-nucleotide long non-coding RNA. RefSeq lists it as uncharacterized. The record is from RefSeq and is a predicted model, not a curated record. Lineage: Eukaryota; Viridiplantae; Streptophyta; Magnoliopsida; Rosales; Cannabaceae. The transcript has 3 exons.